Molecule: small RNA, 30 nt
Filed under: Bombyx mori (domestic silkworm)
Lineage: Eukaryota; Metazoa; Arthropoda; Insecta; Lepidoptera; Bombycidae
Description: ovarian small RNA-27719
Source: RNAcentral
UCCUAGUCCUGGGUCGGCUUUGCCCCCCUC